RNAcentral lists this ribosomal RNA (621 nucleotides) under Triticum aestivum (bread wheat). RNAcentral describes it as "partial small subunit ribosomal RNA". The record is from RNAcentral. Lineage: Eukaryota; Viridiplantae; Streptophyta; Magnoliopsida; Poales; Poaceae.
AUGGACACCUUGGCAUCAAUGGUGAACUAUGCAACACAGACCGGCGUCCUUAGCCCACUUGGCAAGGGCUGCUCCACCCUAAGGGCUUCACUGUAUGCUGACGACGUCAUCUUCUUCCUGAACACCCGAGAAACUGAAUUCUGGGCCAUCAUGGAACUUCUCCGACUGUUCGGUGAGGCAACGAGAUUGCAUGCCAACUGGAGCAAGAGUGCGGCCAUCCCAAUAGAAGGUGCAGAUACCCACACCAUCACAAACCUGGUGCAGGACUCCGGCUGUCCGGUGGCCGCUUUCCCCAUAACUUAUCUCGGGAUGCCGCUAUCAGACUCCAGGCUGCAUCGUGUUGAUCAGCAACCAGCCAUUGAUAAGCUGGCCAAACGCAUGGGAGGGUGGAAGGCCAGGCAUAUAGCGUUGCCCGGACGUGUCGAGCUCGUGCGUGCCACCCUAUCGGCCAUGAUCAUCUUUCAGCUUAUGGUGCUGGAUCCCCCAAUGUGGCUGCUUAAAAAGGUAAACAAGCUGCUCCGUGGCUUCCUUUGGGCUCAGGACGAGGAGGCCACGGCUAGUAAAUGCUUGGUGAACUGGUCUGAUGUCUCCCGCCCGCGUGAGUUCGGUGGUCUUGGCAUC